GAAUGUACUUCCAGAAUAAGUCUCGGCUAACUACGUGCCAGCAGCCGCGGUAACACGUAGGAGGCGAACGUUAUCCGGAUUUACUGGGCGUAAAGCGCGUGUAGGUGGUACUGUAAGUAGGGCGUGAAAGCUCCCGGCUCAACUGGGAGAGGCCGUUCUAAACUACAGAACUAGAGGAUGGUAGAGGGAGGUGGAAUUCCAGGUGUAGCGGUGGAAUGCGCAGAUAUCUGGAGGAACACCAGUGGCGAAGGCGGCCUCCUGGACCAUUCCUGACACUCAGACGCGAAAGCUAGGGUAGCAAACGG
This 305-nucleotide ribosomal RNA is filed under the name uncultured Anaerolineaceae bacterium. RNAcentral's name for it is "bacterial SSU rRNA". It matches the Rfam family "Bacterial small subunit ribosomal RNA", at positions 471 to 775 of the family's 1533-position model. Lineage: Bacteria; Bacillati; Chloroflexota; Anaerolineae; Anaerolineales; Anaerolineaceae. The record is from RNAcentral.